Quercus robur (English oak) is the source of this 1652-nucleotide RNA transcript. RefSeq lists it as uncharacterized. The record is from RefSeq and is a predicted model, not a curated record. The transcript has 4 exons. Lineage: Eukaryota; Viridiplantae; Streptophyta; Magnoliopsida; Fagales; Fagaceae.
UUCGGUAGCGGGCGAUCGGUUUGGUCGCAGAGAGAGAGAGAGAGAGAGAGAGAGGAUGGGAAGUGAAUUGGUAUGGAGAUGGUGUGUUGCUGGUAAUGGUUUGAUGAGAUGCUUUUAUAAUAAUAAUAAUAAUAAUACUGCCAUUGCCAAGGCCUCCUCUUUGUAUUUAUCAUCACCCAAACCCAAACCCAAAAUUUUAAUUCAAACUCCAGUGCCACCACUGGCACUAGUAAGAAUAACAAGAAGCAGCAGCAGCUUCAGCUUGAAUUUGGGUCAAGGAUAUAGCAGCAGCAGUAGUAAUGAGAAUAAUGAGAAGAAGAAGGGUGGUAGAGAAUACCUGGAAAUGACAGAGCAAGAACUGAUGAGAGAGUGCGAGGUGGACACAUUCAAGGCAUCGGGUCCAGGUGGUCAACACCGCAACAAGCGGGAGUCAGCGGUGAGGGUGAAGCACAUACCUACUGGUCUUAUAGCCCAGGCUGUUGAGGAUCGAUCUCAGCAUAUGAACCGCGCUUCUGCUUUAGCUCGCCUCCGCACUCUCUUAGCUCUUCAUGUCAGAAACACUGUCGAUAUUCACACCUAUUCUCCUCCUCCUGAGCUCCUUACCAUUCUUCCUCUCAAGUCUACUCUCAGAUCUUCUGGUCCCCAGAUUGGACCCAAUAACCCCAAGUUCCUUUUGGGAAUGCAAGCUCUCCUGGAUUUAAUUUUGGCAGUGGAUGGUUCUGUUUCGGAAGCAGCCAAAUAUGUUGGUUUAAGCACCGGUGCCCUCUCUCGCUUAAUACUAUCUCAUGAUUCUCUUCGAAUGGCUGUCAAUCAACUCAGGGCUUCCAAGAGAUGCUGCAGGACUCAGAAAAGGGGUUGCCAUGGUAUCAUUUUAUCAUUUAUGGUGUGGUUCCAAAUUUAUAAAAUUCAUAGACAGCAGCCCGUACUACCCAAAAGAGGGGGGGAAAACCUAUGUGACCAAAUCCUUUCCAGUCUGACAAUCUACAUGGCACAUUGAGACUAAAAGGUUGGAUGUAGCUAGGCAUCAUUCCGAUUUAGUUAACUGUAUCAAGUUCUGAGGAAGGUUAUUUUCACUCUUGUGUUGGUUUUUGGAUGGUGCUAUUUGCACACCUCCAAUCUUCUUUGCUAGUGUUACAUCCAGUAAUCAUCAGUUCUAUUAACUUUAAUUUAAAAAUUAAUGGUACAGAGAGGUGAAUGUAAUAUUUUUCCUGAUGUUAGUGGAUUUUACUUGUAGCAAUAUAAGGAGUUAAAAGACGAGUAACUUAUCAUGCACUUGGAGAACCGAAAACGUUUACUUGUAAAUGUGCAACUUGGCAUUUGAAGGAAUUGUCCAACUAGAGCAAGAGAAUAUCAACUACAAUGUAUAAUCAUCUCCCCAAAACAGAAGCUGACAGGUCUCAGGAAGCAUCGAGAUUACUUUUUGAUACAUACAUCGUAGUUGGCCCAAUGGUAUGAUUAUUUAUUCUUGCCAAGCAAAACCGUGUGUGUAUAUAUAUAUAUAUAUAUAUAUGAUAUACUGCUGCUGGCAAAUAUAUUCUUUCUUGAAUGAUUUUUUUUUUCCCUGGUUUUGUUUUAUGCUACACGAGUCAGCUUCUCUACAUCAGUCAGUGAAGUAAUAAAUUCCCAUGAUCAAAUAUGACAUCUUUUCCUAA